UUUUAGAAAUUAAUUUAAAGUCUAACCUGCCCACUGAAUAAUUUUAAAUGGCCGCAGUAUCCUAACUGUGCAAAGGUAGCAUAAUCAUUAGUCUUUUAAUUGAAGGCUGGAAUGAAUGGUUGGAUGAAAUAUUAACUGUUUCAUAAAAAUUUAUAAUAGAAUUUUAUUUUUUAGUCAAAAAGCUAAAAUAUUAUUAAAAGACGAGAAGACCCUAUAAAUCUUUAUAUUUAGAUAAUUUUAAUUAUUUAGAUAAAUUAAAUUAUAAUUAUUUUAAAUAUUUUAUUGGGGUGAUAUUAAAAUUUAAUAAACUUUUAAUUUAUAAUUAACAUAAAUUAAUGAAUUAUUGAUCCAUUUAUUAUGAUUAAAAAAUUAAGUUACUUUAGGGAUAACAGCGUAAUUUUUUUAGAGAGUUCAUAUUGAUAAAAA
Molecule: ribosomal RNA, 426 nt
Filed under: Megaselia subtumida
Lineage: Eukaryota; Metazoa; Arthropoda; Insecta; Diptera; Phoridae
Also listed under: 1 other name
Description: partial 16S ribosomal RNA
Source: RNAcentral